RNAcentral lists this long non-coding RNA (259 nucleotides) under Hordeum vulgare. RNAcentral's name for it is "long non-coding RNA (HVUL_LNC001657)". The record is from RNAcentral. Lineage: Eukaryota; Viridiplantae; Streptophyta; Magnoliopsida; Poales; Poaceae.
AGGUAGAAAUAUAAAUUAGGGAUGCAUACCUAAACAGUGCCUAUAAGUAACAAUUAGUCAGUCUCUUUAGAAUUCAUCCACAAGAUUCAUAUGAAAAUGUCAUGGACUGCAAAAACAAUAGUAUGGAAAAUUUUCUGGCUCUACUGGUGUGAAUCAGAAGAACCACUAUUAUGCCACUAUGCAGCAAAAAAUCAAUUACCGCAGUCACUUGUUAUUCAUAAAAAUAAUAAUAUAAGCAUCUAUUGGUUUAGAGCCAUAC